CGGGGUGUAGCUCAGCUUGGCAGAGCGCUUCGUUCGGGACGCAGAGGCCGUGGGUUCAAAUCCCGCCACCCCGA
Molecule: transfer RNA, 74 nt
Filed under: Anaerolineales bacterium
Lineage: Bacteria; Bacillati; Chloroflexota; Anaerolineae; Anaerolineales
Description: tRNA-Pro
Rfam family: tRNA
About the family: Transfer RNA (tRNA) molecules are approximately 80 nucleotides in length. Their secondary structure includes four short double-helical elements and three loops (D, anti-codon, and T loops).
Source: RNAcentral